CUUUCCUAAAAUAUGGCGGCGAUUUUGUCUUUGGGUUUGGCAUCGUUUUACGUACCGUUGCAACUGUUCACCGGUUUAAGGGGAAAGUUCACCUGCCGUUUUAAACCUGGACCACCUGGACGCCGUUCCUCAGUUAGUGAGCAUGUCAAACGACGGCAGAAAUGAACUCACCGAUGACUUGAUCCACGGACUCAGUAAGCUCAUGAAAUCUAAAGAGCACACACGGUCGCUUACAGAGAAACGGGACGACUUCAUCGCGUGGGAAGAUUAUUUCAUGGCUGCAGCCUACUUGGCAGCUAUGAGAAGCAAAGAUCCCAACACACAGGUGGGAUGCGUUAUAGUUAACACAGAGCAGAGAAUCGUCGGUGCGGGAUAUAACGGCAUGCCUAACGGUAUCGACGAUGACAAAGUACCCUGGGCCAGGACCGCCGAGCGUCCAAUAGACACGAAGUACCCCUUUGUCUGCCAUGCAGAAAUGAAUGCAAUCUUCAACAGAAACUGCUUUGAUUUGCGUGGGUGUCGUCUGUAUACAACGCAUUUCCCGUGUAAUGAGUGUACCAAGAUGAUUCUUCAAGCACGAAUCACAGAAGUGGUGUAUGUCAUCGACAAGCACAGGGAAGAAACAACUUAUGUGGCUUCACGGAUAAUGAUGACACAGGCCGGCGUUAAGUUUCGGUAUAUCUGCACGUUCCACACUUAAUCAUGUCCAUAUGUGCUAUACUCACGUGGGGAAACCAUUGCAUGACGGACCGAAUUCCGGUGUAGCACGCUCCCCCAUGGCAACAUGUCCCGGAAGCCAGCAAGAUAGUGAUCGACUUUGAGAACAUGCGCGCCUUCAAGUUGUGAUCUACAUGACGAAUGUGCCGUAACAUGACCUGAUCUGAGCACGUUUGACAAUACCAACUGCGACGUUACUGCCGAUUUUAACAUGAGAUGUUUUUAAACCAUUUUUUUACGAACCUAUAAAGACGUCCCUGUCUGUUGCAGGAGGAAUCUC
This is an RNA transcript of Ornithodoros turicata, 997 nucleotides long. It is a transcript of the gene named deoxycytidylate deaminase-like, with no coding region annotated. The transcript has 5 exons. Lineage: Eukaryota; Metazoa; Arthropoda; Arachnida; Ixodida; Argasidae. The record is from RefSeq and is a predicted model, not a curated record.